Molecule: long non-coding RNA, 598 nt
Organism: Sycon ciliatum
Lineage: Eukaryota; Metazoa; Porifera; Calcarea; Leucosolenida; Sycettidae
Exons: 3
Source: RefSeq, a predicted model, not a curated record
UUUCAUUAUUCGUUGUUGUUUGGAAGGAAGCACGUAAUGUCCUUCUUCUCCGUUUGCUUUCUUUGAGGCUAACCCGAGACACUGUAAAGCCGGCCAGCAUUUGAUAGGUGUGUACAGAGCAAAGAUAAGAUGUAGUCGAUAGGCUUAUUUUUGAAGGAUUCCGACUAUCGUGUGCAGGUUUCUCAACUGGAGCGCCACGGGGAGCGAAGAAGCCAAGGAGUGUAUCAAGAGGCUUGAUGCGCAUGCGCGGUGCGACGGCGGCACACUUCUGGCUGCAUCUUUUUACAUUUCCCAAGAGGAAAACAUGUUGCUGUGUACCGCUAGCUAUUGCGGACACUGGGAUUGCCCUGCGGGUGCGCCACUCAUAUCACCUUGUCGGUCACAAACACCUGCUACGCUGUCGUACCGUCCGGAUGUUUUGCGGCCAGAACCUUUGGAACUCCAGGUAUCCAUCGCUGGAAGGGGUGCUCUCCUUUCGUUCAGGUACAGUACCCAUGUUGGAUCAGUUUUACUACAAUGCCUUUGUCCGUGUUUUCACUGCUCCUUCCUAGCUGCAUUUUGCAUUUCUGGCAUCGACGCCAAAAUAUAAUUAAUAGGA